UGCAAGGCCGAGGACUGUACAAGUGAAGCUGAUUGCACGAACACGAUGUGUAACACUGGCUGGAAAGUCAUUUGUACCACAACAGUUCCCAGAACGUGCACGUGUAGUUCGACUGUGUUUAGUUGUACAGUUAAAGCGGACUGCGAGUACCUGUUUAGAAAUGGUACUUUGACCGAUUGUAUUUCCGCCGGCCACGCCCACUGCUACGAUGCCAAAUGCAUUUGUACACAUUUUUAAUUUCGUUUGGAAUAUUCAUUGUUUCGAAUGGAGUAUUUAUAUACCAA
Mya arenaria is the source of this 284-nucleotide long non-coding RNA. RefSeq lists it as uncharacterized. The transcript is spliced from 2 exons. NCBI's taxonomy places the organism in Eukaryota, Metazoa, Mollusca, Bivalvia, Myida, Myidae. The record is from RefSeq and is a predicted model, not a curated record.